GACGAACGCUGGCGGCGUGCUUAACACAUGCAAGUCGAACGGUAAGGCCCUUCGGGGUACACGAGUGGCGAACGGGUGAGUAACACGUGGGUGAUCUGCCCUGCACUUCGGGAUAAGCCUGGGAAACUGGGUCUAAUACCGGAUAGGACCACUGCCUGCAUGGGUGGUGGUGGAAAGCUUUUGCGGUGUGGGAUGGGCCCGCGGCCUAUCAGCUUGUUGGUGGGGUGAUGGCCUACCAAGGCGACGACGGGUAGCCGGCCUGAGAGGGUGACCGGCCACACUGGGACUGAGAUACGGCCCAGACUCCUACGGGAGGCAGCAGUGGGGAAUAUUGCACACUGGGCGCAAGCCUGAUGCAGCGACGCCACGUGAGGGAUGACGGCCUUCGGGUUGUAAACCUCUUUCAGCACCGACGAAGCGCAAGUGACGGUAGGUGCAGAAGAAGGACCGGCCAACUACGUGCCAGCCGCCGCAGUAA
RNAcentral lists this ribosomal RNA (478 nucleotides) under uncultured bacterium. RNAcentral describes it as "partial 16S ribosomal RNA". It matches the Rfam family "Bacterial small subunit ribosomal RNA", at positions 28 to 523 of the family's 1533-position model. The record is from RNAcentral.